CCUACGGGCGGCAGCAGUGGGGAAUAUUGCACAAUGGGCGCAAGCCUGAUGCAGCCAUGCCGCGUGUGUGAAGAAGGCCUUCGGGUUGUAAAGCACUUUCAGCGGGGAGGAAGGCGGUGAGGUUAAUAACCUCAUCGAUUGACGUUACCCGCAGAAGAAGCACCGGCUAACUCCGUGCCAGCAGCCGCGGUAAUACGGAGGGUGCAAGCGUUAAUCGGAAUUACUGGGCGUAAAGCGCACGCAGGCGGUCUGUCAAGUCGGAUGUGAAAUCCCCGGGCUCAACCUGGGAACUGCAUUCGAAACUGGCAGGCUAGAGGCUUGUAGAGGGGGGUAGAAUUCCAGGUGUAGCGGUGAAAUGCGUAGAGAUCUGGAGGAAUACCGGUGGCGAAGGCGGCCCCCUGGACAAAGACUGACGCUCAGGCGCGAAAGCGUGGGGAGCAAACAGGAUUAGAUACCCGAGUAGUC
RNAcentral lists this ribosomal RNA (465 nucleotides) under uncultured Klebsiella sp. Its description in RNAcentral is "bacterial SSU rRNA". It matches the Rfam family "Bacterial small subunit ribosomal RNA", at positions 338 to 795 of the family's 1533-position model. The record is from RNAcentral. Lineage: Bacteria; Pseudomonadati; Pseudomonadota; Gammaproteobacteria; Enterobacterales; Enterobacteriaceae.